Molecule: ribosomal RNA, 456 nt
Filed under: Dendropsophus aff. minutus
Lineage: Eukaryota; Metazoa; Chordata; Amphibia; Anura; Hylidae
Description: partial 16S ribosomal RNA
Rfam family: Bacterial large subunit ribosomal RNA
Source: RNAcentral
CGCCUCUUGAAAUUACAUAAGAGGUCCAGCCUGCCCAGUGACUAAGUUCAACGGCCGCGGUAUCCUAACCGUGCGAAGGUAGCGUAAUCACUUGUUCUUUAAAUGAGGACUAGUAUGAAUGGCACCACGAGGGUUAUGCUGUCUCCUUUUUCUAAUCAAUGAAACUGAUCUCCCCGUGAAGAAGCGGGGGUAUAUUUAUAAGACGAGAAGACCCUAUGGAGCUUUAAACCAUGUAACACUGGCUUUCACAUUAAAAUAUUCCAGAAUUUUCAUAAUUACUCUAGCCACUAUGAUUACUAGUUUUAGGUUGGGGUGACCGCGGAGCAAAAAUUAACCUCCAUGUUGAACGGAGCUACUCCUGAGCCUAAAGCAACGACUUUAAGCACUAAUAAAUUAACAUUAAUUGACCCAAUAUUUUUGAUCAACGAACCAAGUUACCCUAGGGAUAACAGCGCA